GUGAAUGAAGGCUGUUUGUGACUAAAUAUUUUCAUUCUAAUUACCAAUCUUCAAUUCUAGGAAAUGGAAUUUUUUUUAAAGAGCUAUUAACACAAAACCCUAAACACCUGUUUUGGGAAUGGGGUAUCGUCGUCUGAGCAAGUGAGAGCACCAUCGCCCGUUCGUGAAUCGUGAGAAACUGGCUCAUCGUAGAAUUCAAUAAUACCCUUUGCCGACCUAUAGUGUUCUGGAAAUAUAAAUUAGGGCUUAGAUACGAGAGAACUUGGAGAAUCGAAAAAUAAAGAUUAAUCGAGGAAAAUUUUGAGAAAGACUAUAACCUGUGAAAUUGAUGGGGAGAAGAUAUGUCGUUCUAAAGUGAUAGAGGAGA
RNAcentral lists this long non-coding RNA (367 nucleotides) under Erythranthe guttata (spotted monkey flower). RNAcentral describes it as "long non-coding RNA (EGUT_LNC000457)". Lineage: Eukaryota; Viridiplantae; Streptophyta; Magnoliopsida; Lamiales; Phrymaceae. The record is from RNAcentral.